UGAACGCUGGCGGCAGGCUUACACAUGCAAGUCGAGCGGGGAAGGUAGCUUGCUACCGGACCUAGCGGCGGACGGGUGAGUAAUGCUUAGGAAUCUGCCUAUUAGUGGGGGACAACAUCUCGAAAGGGAUGCUAAUACCGCAUACGUCCUACGGGAGAAAGCAGGGGAUCUUCGGACCUUGCGCUAAUAGAUGAGCCUAAGUCGGAUUAGCUAGUUGGUGGGGUAAAGGCCUACCAAGGCGACGAUCUGUAGCGGGUCUGAGAGGAUGAUCCGCCACACUGGGACUGAGACACGGCCCAGACUCCUACGGGAGGCAGCAGUGGGGAAUAUUGGACAAUGGGGGGAACCCUGAUCCAGCCAUGCCGCGUGUGUGAAGAAGGCCUUAUGGUUGUAAAGCACUUUAAGCGAGGAGGAGGCUACUCUAGUUAAUACCUAGAGAUAGUGGACGUACUCGCAGAAUAAGCACCGGCU
RNAcentral lists this ribosomal RNA (471 nucleotides) under Acinetobacter baumannii. RNAcentral describes it as "bacterial SSU rRNA". It matches the Rfam family "Bacterial small subunit ribosomal RNA", at positions 30 to 498 of the family's 1533-position model. Lineage: Bacteria; Pseudomonadati; Pseudomonadota; Gammaproteobacteria; Moraxellales; Moraxellaceae. The record is from RNAcentral.